Molecule: long non-coding RNA, 216 nt
Organism: Pseudopipra pipra
Lineage: Eukaryota; Metazoa; Chordata; Aves; Passeriformes; Pipridae
Exons: 3
Source: RefSeq, a predicted model, not a curated record
AGCUGACUGGCCAUGGCCCUGUCAGCUCUGUGGCAGCGUUGUGUGAGCUGGAGCUCAACCAUAGCCCAGCUCCUGCAGCCGUUUGUCUCUCGCGGAACCUCCUGCCCCACAGGAUCAGCCAGCCUCGGCCAACAGCCUGGCCAGAAGCAGCAGCCCUUGCCAGCUCCCUCUGCCCCACCAGCAGGGACACGGACUCAGCUGCCUCACCAGCCCCCU